This is a non-coding RNA of Sus scrofa (pig), 776 nucleotides long. NCBI's taxonomy places the organism in Eukaryota, Metazoa, Chordata, Mammalia, Artiodactyla, Suidae. The record is from RefSeq and is a predicted model, not a curated record.
CUUUUCAUUUUGUUUGUGGUUUCCAUUGCUGUGCAAAAGCUUAGUUUGAUAAACCCAUUUGUUUAUUUUCGCUCUUUCUAUUGUCUUGGGAGACUGACCUAAGAAAACAUCGGUAUGAUUUAUGUCACAGACUAUUCCGCCUAUGUUCUCUUCUAGGAGUUAUACAGUGUCAUGUCUUACAUGUAAGUCUUUAAGCCAUUUUGAGUUUUAUUUUUGUGUAUGGUAUUGGCUGGAGUGAAGAGAGGUAAAGUCUAAGACCAGUCAUUGAUUCACUUAAUUAUAAAUAGGAAUUGGGAAUGUCAAGUUAUCACAUCCCGACUCUGGAACAGUCUCUGCCCUGUUACUCAGGAACUCCCCCCUCCCCAUAAGAUGUAUUGUCCCAUGUGUUUUCUGAGGCCAGUGUUACAGGGGCUUGUCCCCGCCACUGUUUCCUGCUCUCCCCCUCGUCCCGUGUGUUCCUGCCCCUCCCCAAGGAGGUGAUGCUGUCCCCCCACUCAGCCCUGGGCCUGGGCAGUCCAGGCUCCCUGUCUUGCCCAGCUCGGCAGUCCAGGGAGGCACCUGCAGCCAGUGAAAUGUGCAGGAACAGCGGCUGAGCGACUUCAGGGAGGAUCCUCUGCAGUAAAAUCACAAGGUGUUUAUUUAGCACCCGCUCUGCAUGAGGCACUGUGUUGGUGCCGUGAAGAACAUGCAGGUGGACGAGGCGUGGCUCCUGUCCUCUGCAGGCUCACUGUCCAGCAUGGGAACUUGGUCAUGGACACAAGUGACCGUCACACCAA